AGGCAAUAGAUACCCGGGUAGUCCACGCCCUAAACGAUGUCAACUAGGUGUUGGAGGAGCAAUCCUUUGGUACCGCAGCUAAACGCGUGAAGUUGACCGCCUGGGGAGUACGGUCGCAAGAUUAAAACUCAAAGGAAUUGACGGGGACCCGCACAAGCGGUGGAUGAUGUGGAUUAAAUUCGAUGCAACGCGAACAACCUUACCUACCCUUGACAUGUCUGGAAUCCUGCUGAAAGGCGGGAGUGCCCGAAAGGGAACCGGAACACAGGUGCUGCAUGGCUGUCGUCAGCUCGUGUCGUGAGAUGUUGGGUUAAGUCCCGCAACGAGCGCAACCCUUGUCCUUAGUUGCUACGCAAGGGCACUCUAAGGAGACUGCCGGUGACAGACCGGAGGAAGGUGGGGAUGACGUCAAGUCCUCAUGGCCCUUAUGGGUAGGGCUUCACACGUCAUACAAUGGUCGGUACAAAGGGCAGCCAACCCGCGAGGGGGAGCCAAUCCCAGAAAGCCGAUCGUAGUCCGGAUUGCAGUCUGCAACUCGACUGC
Molecule: ribosomal RNA, 543 nt
Filed under: uncultured bacterium
Lineage: Bacteria
Description: bacterial SSU rRNA
Rfam family: Bacterial small subunit ribosomal RNA
Source: RNAcentral